Molecule: long non-coding RNA, 2096 nt
Filed under: Salmo salar (Atlantic salmon)
Lineage: Eukaryota; Metazoa; Chordata; Actinopteri; Salmoniformes; Salmonidae
Description: lncRNA (ENSSSAG00000097774.1)
Source: RNAcentral
CAAUAUCACCACCAACCCUGGUUACAAUAUCACCACCAACCCUGGUUACAAUAUCACCACCAGCCCUGGUUACAAUAUCACCACCAACCCUGGUUACAAUAUCACCACCAGCCCUGGUUACAAUAUCACCACCAACCCUGGUUACAAUAUCACCAGCCCUGGUUACAAUAUCACCACCCUGGUUACAAUAUCACCACCAGCCAUGGUUACAAUAUCACCAACCCUGGUUACAAUAUCACCACCAACCCUGGUUACAAUAUCACCACCAGCCCUGGUUACAAUAUCACCACCAGCCCUGGUUACAAUAUCACCACCAACCUUGGUUCAAUCCUAGUGGAAAAUUCUGUUAGUAUGACCACAACAUGAUGAACCCUUAUUCAACGUUGGGUCAACCUUGGGUCAACCCUGGUUCUGUUAGAAUAACCACAAUAUGACCAACGGGGUAGGAGCGUUGGGCCAGUAACCGAAAGGUUGCUAGAUCGAACCCCCGAGCUGACAAGGUACAAAUCUGUCGUUCUGCCCCAGAGCAAGGCAGUUAACCCACUGUUCCCCGGGCCCUGAGCAAGGCAGUUAACCCACUGUUCCCCGGGCCCUGAGCAAGGCAGUUAACUCACUGUUCCCCGGGCCCUGAGCAAGGCAGUUAACCCACUGUUCCCCGGGCCCUGAGCAAGGCAGUUAACCCACUGUUCCCCGGGCCCUGAGCAAGGCAGUUAACCCACUGUUCCCCGGGCCCUGAGCAAGGCAGUUAACCCACUGUUCCCCGGGCCCUGAGCAAGGCAGUUAACCCACUGUUCCCCGGGCGCCGUUGAUGUGGAUGUCAAUUGUAAGGCAGCCCCCCCCCACCCCACCUCUCUGAUUCAGAGGGUUAAAUGUGGAAGACACAUUUCAGUUGAAUGAAUUCAGUUCGACAACUGACUAGGUAUCCCCUUCCUGGUUCUGUUAGUAUGACCAACCCUAGUUCUGUUAGUAUGAUCAACCCUGGUUCUGUUAGUAUGACCAACCCUGCUACAGGGAAGGCUGUAGUGUGUCUGAUAACAAUAGAAGAUACAGGACAGAUAUAUAACAGGAGUGUUUAGUGAAACUGGCAGGCUGUUAACAUCACUUUGUCACGGUCCGGACACCUCCUGGCUCUUCCUGACACUCAGCCUGAAUCUUCAUGGCUUCCAUUAACAUUAAUUAGAGAGGGGAAUUAUAAUUUACUCCAUGUGACAGAGAAAACUAAAAUGCUCAAAGUUAAAAAGUCUCCUCUUCUGGAAUGAUAACAUGCUAGUGAUCAUGGAGCAGAGAUAAACUGGAGAUAUUGUGAGAUGUUACAGGAGUUGUGUGGGGUAGUGCUGAUGUUAAACUGCUGCUCUUAAGGACACACAUGCACUUGACAGGUAAUUCUCCAAACUCAAAACACACUGAAAAUAAUCAAAGACAGAUCCUCGCUCUUGUAACCCAUCUGACAAAAACAAAAGCACCAAGUCUCUCCUGAAUAUUUGGCUGACAAUUCAGACCGUUCCAAAGUGUUUUGGUUUUUUAGUGGAUGUUUAGAUCAUUUAGAACGUUUAGAAAGUUUAGGGGUCGUUCGACGAAUUGGGUUCCUUUUGAAAAGUGUAAAAUAAAUAAAUAAUUGUUUCACCUAAUUUUAACAUUCUGUCAUUCAUUAACAUUCUGUUAAUAAAAAAAUUAAAAUAAAAACACAUUAACCCAUCUCAAGAGGUUAAAGAAAAAAAAACUAAGCUAACAUAUGGAAUUGUUUUAAGAUGUUCAUACAAUGGAUGAUUUAGCUAUUUCAUUUUGAAUUUUAGGACCCCUUUAGGUAUCGAAAUGAAAUAUUUACUACUAUAGCCCAUAGAAAUGUAUUGAAUUACGCAUUCAUAAAUGGAAAAAAAGACAGUCCAAAAAUAAAUCAUAAGGAAUAAGGUUUUGAAGUGUCUGUCCCAUGUCUAGGAGAUAUAAGAAAGCUCAGGACAUAUUUAACCCCUUACUUUUGUGGCCACAAAAGUAUCUCCAUACUUCCAUUGGUUUGUAUGGGUUACCUUUAGAGUCUCCCCUUCCAUAGAGAAGUCAUGUAUGGGUUACCUUCAGGGUCUCCCCUUUCCAUAGAGAAG